AAUAGAUACCCAGGUAGUCCACGCCCUAAACGAUGUCGACUGGUUGUUGGGGGUUUGACACUCUCAGUAACGAAGCUAACGCGUGAAGUCGACCGCCUGGGGAGUACGGCCGCAAGGUUAAAACUCAAAGGAAUUGACGGGGACCCGCACAAGCGGUGGAUUAUGUGGAUUAAUUCGAUGCAACGCGAAAAACCUUACCUACCCUUGACAUGUCCCGAAGCCCGGUGAGAGCUGGGUGUGCCCGAAAGGGAACGGGAACACAGGUGCUGCAUGGCUGUCGUCAGCUCGUGUCGUGAGAUGUUGGGUUAAGUCCCGCAACGAGCGCAACCCUUGUCAUUAGUUGCUACAUUCGGUUGGGCACUCUAAUGAGACUGCCGGUGACAAACCGGAGGAAGGUGGGGAUGACGUCAAGUCCUCAUGGCCCUUAUGGGUAGGGCUUCACACGUAAUACAAUGGCGCGUACAGAGGGUUGCCAAGGGGCGACCUGGAGCCAAUCCCUUAAAGCGCGUCGUAGUCCGGAUUGGAGUCUGCAACUCGACUCCAUGAAGUCGG
RNAcentral lists this ribosomal RNA (552 nucleotides) under uncultured bacterium. RNAcentral describes it as "bacterial SSU rRNA". It matches the Rfam family "Bacterial small subunit ribosomal RNA", at positions 777 to 1329 of the family's 1533-position model. The record is from RNAcentral.